UAAUUGCUGGGGAUAAAAACAUGCUUGUGGGUUUCUGCUAAGGAUUGAUGAUAGAAUUCAGUUACCUGUUCAAAUAUAUAUACAUUAAGCCAAUUAAAGUUUUGGUUUGCUUUUGUUUCUAGCCUUGAACGUCUAGGUAAGCUUUGGUUUGCCUUUGUAAUAGUUGUUUAGGUUUCUAUCUUCUGAGUUAAUAAAUUUUUGGGAAAGAAAAAGAAUUGCAUUACCUGUUGUCAUAGUUAUUAAAGGCUCAAGGUGUACUAAGGGGCCAAGGGGUCCUGGAGCCUAGGC
Molecule: unclassified non-coding RNA, 288 nt
Filed under: Hevea brasiliensis (rubber tree)
Lineage: Eukaryota; Viridiplantae; Streptophyta; Magnoliopsida; Malpighiales; Euphorbiaceae
Source: RNAcentral